UGUCUUCGGGGCGAGGUGCAAUUCCUCACCGGUGGUCAAAGCCCACGAGCGAUUUUUUUCGCUGAAUUGGUGUAACUCCAAUGCCGACGGUCAAAGUCCGGAUGAAAGAAGAU
RNAcentral lists this non-coding RNA (113 nucleotides) under bovine gut metagenome. RNAcentral describes it as "FMN riboswitch (RFN element)". It matches the Rfam family "FMN riboswitch aptamer (RFN element)". From Rfam's summary of the family: The RFN element is a highly conserved domain that is found frequently in the 5'-untranslated regions of prokaryotic mRNAs that encode for flavin mononucleotide (FMN) biosynthesis and transport proteins. The record is from RNAcentral.